UACGGAGGAUCCGAGCGUUAUCCGGAUUUAUUGGGUUUAAAGGGUGCGUAGGCGGGCUGGUAAGUCAGCUGUGAAAUCUUACGGCUCAACCGUGAAAUUGCAGUUGAUACUGUUGGUCUUGAGUAUACAUGAGGUAGCCGGAAUUUGUAGUGUAGCGGUGAAAUGCUUAGAGAUCACAAAGAAUUCCAAUUGCGAAGGCAGCUCACUGGGG
This 211-nucleotide ribosomal RNA is filed under the name uncultured bacterium. Its description in RNAcentral is "partial 16S ribosomal RNA". It matches the Rfam family "Bacterial small subunit ribosomal RNA", at positions 524 to 734 of the family's 1533-position model. The record is from RNAcentral.